This 441-nucleotide ribosomal RNA is filed under the name uncultured bacterium. Its description in RNAcentral is "partial 16S ribosomal RNA". It matches the Rfam family "Bacterial small subunit ribosomal RNA", at positions 339 to 795 of the family's 1533-position model. The record is from RNAcentral.
CUACGGGUGGCAGCAGUAAAGAAUCUUCCGCAAUGGGGGCAACCCUGACGGAGCGACACCGCGUGGUGGAUGACGCUUUUCGGAGUGUAAACACCUUUUAUGAGGGAAGAAAAUCUGACGGUACCUCAUGAAUAAGGACCGGCUAAUUACGUGCCAGCAGCCGCGGUAAUACGUAAGGUCCAAGCGUUAACCGGAAUUAUUGGGCGUAAAGCGUCCGCAGGCGGUUUAUCAAGUUGAUUAUUAAAUACCGGUGCUCAACAUCGGUGCUGUAGUCAAAACUGGUAAACUAGAGAUGUGGAGAGGUGCGUGGAAUUGUGCAAGUAGGGGUAAAAUCCGUAGAUAUGCGCAGGAACACCAAAAGCGAAGGCAGCGCACUGGCCAUUAUCUGACGCUCAGGGACGAAAGCGUGGGGAGCGAAAGGGAUUAGAUACCCUCGUAGUC